This 620-nucleotide ribosomal RNA is filed under the name uncultured bacterium. RNAcentral describes it as "bacterial SSU rRNA". It matches the Rfam family "Bacterial small subunit ribosomal RNA", at positions 128 to 751 of the family's 1533-position model. The record is from RNAcentral.
GCCUUAUCGGGGAGGAUAUCGCACGGAAACUUACGCUAAUACCGGAUACGACCUACGGGUGAAAGGGGAGGACCUACAGGUUUCGCGCGAUAAGACGAGCCGAUGUCCCAUUAUUUAUCCGGCGGGGUAAUGGCCCACCAAUGAGACGAUCCGAAUGUGGGCUGAGAGGAUGAGCCGACGCACUGGAACUGAGACACGGUCCACACUCCUACUGGAGGCACGAGUGGGGAAUAUUGGACAAUGGGCGGAAGCCUGAUCCCCUCAUGCCGCGUGAGUGAUCAAUGACUUCUGUCUGAAAAGCACUUGUGACCGGAAGGAAAAGCUUCGGGAUAAUACCCCGGGGCUCUGACCGCACCUGGAGAAUAAGCACCGGCUAACUUCGUGCCAGCAGUCGUGCGAAUACGAAGGGUGCAAGCGUUACUCGGAAUUACUGCUAGUAUACCGUGCGUAAUAGGGUGUUAAGUCUAGAUGACAUAGCUUGGGCUCAGCCUGCCAUUGCAUCGAAUACUGGUGCUUACACGCGGUAGAGGUGGUGGAAUUGCUGGUGUAGAUGGAAAUCUUCACACUCAUGAGCAACCUCUGUGUACAAGGUGCACUGCUGCACCGGACUGACACUGUCG